Molecule: unclassified non-coding RNA, 380 nt
Filed under: uncultured Gemmatimonadaceae bacterium
Lineage: Bacteria; Pseudomonadati; Gemmatimonadota; Gemmatimonadia; Gemmatimonadales; Gemmatimonadaceae
Description: contains 16S-23S intergenic spacer region
Source: RNAcentral
UCCGGUUUAGCACCGGCAGUCUUCCCAGAGUCCCCGCCAUAACGCGCUGGCAACUGAGAACGGGGGUUGCGCUCGUUGCGGGACUUAACCCAACAUCUCACGACACGAGCUGACGACAGCCAUGCAGCACCUGUAACCGAACUCCGAAGAGGGCGCCGUGUUUCCACAGCGUUUCUCGGUUAUGUCAAGCCUAGGUAAGGUUCUUCGCGUUGCGUCGAAUUAAACCACAUGCUCCACCGCUUGUGCGGGCCCCCGUCAAUUCCUUUGAGUUUCAGCCUUGCGGCCGUACUCCCCAGGCGGGGCACUUACUGCGUUAGCGGCGACACUCAGGGGGUCGCUCCCCCAAGCAUCUAGUGCCCAUCGUUUACGGCGUGGACUAC